This 2413-nucleotide long non-coding RNA is filed under the name Panax ginseng (ginseng). Its description in RNAcentral is "long non-coding RNA (PGIN_LNC004341)". Lineage: Eukaryota; Viridiplantae; Streptophyta; Magnoliopsida; Apiales; Araliaceae. The record is from RNAcentral.
CAGCUUAACUUGUGUAUUCUCACAGAUCCUACAUAAUUGUGUGCAUUCACAAUCAUGUCAACCAAAUAGCCAAAUCAUAUAGCUGGUAAGUUCAUGUAUUACAUAAUCACAGUGAUCAUAUGAAAUAUUUUUAUACAUUUUUCAAAUAUCUCAUCCAUGUUAUUAUAACAAUCAUUUCUUUCUUUUAUAGGGUCUAACAUACUUUCUGUUCAUGAGCUUUGUUAUGAAUUUAGUUCAUAUUUCUUUUCUAAGUUAGGCCAAGAUAGCUCUCUUCGUAAUAUUAGUAACUCUUUGUGACACUAACAACUUAAACUUGGUUGAGAAAUUUGUAGCUCUCAUAAGGCUUUGUAACUUUGUUCUAGUAUACCAAAGUGUUAAAUACUCCUGUUUUCCCCUUUGUAACAAAACAGUCCCAAAUUGACUCAUUGUGUGACAAUUAAGUUUUGUUUAACUAUGUGGGGCUUAGCCAAGCUUGGAAUGGCCAUAUAUAGCCCCGUAAUCCCAUAUAUAGCCUAACAGCCUCCCCUUGGCUCUAGAUCAUUAUUUCAUUAACUUCAACGUACAAAUUACUAGUUCGCUUACCUUAGAGUUGAAAUUUACAAUAUUGAUUUGAUUUAUUCAAAACAACUCUCUAAUAUAGCUUUGUUUAGUUUUUAUAAUUUCUAAUUAAUUAGUUCAAACAUACUAAAUGAUAGAUUCGUUAUGGACUCUAAUUACAUACCACAAAAUGAACUAUAAUGAUUCUUGAUGAUUAGUUUUAUUAUUGUCUAACCAAAAUAGCUUCUCAAGACUGCUUUAACAGUCAUUUUCUUGCCAACUACUGCUGUCCAAAAGCAGCAGCCCCCUAUUUUUGGCUCAUCAAUUUAUGUCUUUAGACCCUUUACAAAAAUUGCUUAAUAUCAUUUAAGGUGAUACAUUUAUUUAUGAAAAUAACUCACUAGUUGCAACAAUACACAAUACUAUGUGAGUUCAAAAAUAUUUACCAAGACAAAACCACUUAACAAGUAGCAAUUAACUGACUAUGCAGCUUAGCAUAGCAUAGCAACAUACACUAGUUGCUGUAGUCUAUAGUAGCUCAGUUCAAUUAUUUCCCCUUUCACAGCUCCUAUUUAAAAAGUUUAAAACCCAAGAUAGCUAAGUUUGGUUAUACUCAAACUCUAGAACUUAAAAGCUACCAUAGUGGCCUUAUCAAACAGUCCCAACACAAAAAAAAAAAAAAAUAGCUCAACAUUUUAGCUACAUAAGGUAACUGCAGCAGCACAGUAUACCCAGCAGCGCGCUGGUGCGCCACUGCAACUGCUGCGUCUAGCAGUUGCUCAACAGCCCAAUUUGCGGCCUUUUAACUUUUAGCUCGUUUACCAAAUUAAAACAAUCUUUAAGUAUCUUAUACAUACCAUAUGAGACUGUAUUUAGAAGUUAUAACCUCUUCAUUUUAGGCCCUAAACGCUGUCUAAAACAGUGUUCAUACAAGCCAUGUAGCACUAAAUUUUCCUUAUUUUCGUUUUGGCUUAAACUGCUUUUCGCUCUAAAUUAGUAAUUUCAAAUUCUCUAAUUAACAUCCUAUAUGUUGUAUAACUCAAGCCCAAGCUUUACUUCUAACAAAUUUUUGGUUUUAGACAAAAACAGUCCAUUAAGGACUUUUGUCAAGCACUCGGAGGGCAUAUUUUUAAAAUUCUGUUUUCAUGGCCAUUGUUUUAUAUCAUAAACUCAUGUUUAUCCUCCUUAUUACUCCACAACCCAACCUAUCUCCUCUAGCUAUUUAUCAACCAAUAGCAGUCCAAAACACAGACAAAGCAUGAAUGCACAAACCAACUGUUUUGUUCUAAUUCACAAUAACCCAUUUUGCUCAAUACUAACAUCACAGCUAACAAAAACUUAGUGAAUUAAUUCACAUACCUUUCACUUGAUUGCUUAUAAUUUCUUACUAUUCUGCAACUUAGUCCCAGCUGCUCAAGGAUAUAAUGAAGCUUUCAAAUUAUUUUCUUGUGCCCGCCGAAUAUAAAUACUGGAGAUUGCUAUGGAGUAACUCAAUUGUGAUUAGAUGGAGAGGAAAUCGGUAAUUGCCUUAGUAAGGAACGAAAUUGGUUGAGAGAGAAGGAAAGGCAGAGAAUUAUUGGGAGCCUUCGAUUUAUAUAAUGUUAUUCCCUUACUUCCCACAUUAUAGCUUAACCAAAUCAGAAGUCUAUUUGUAUAAUACAAGGACAGCUCCUCCUUGCCAUAGGCUGAUCCAGCUAAGUCCCCCUAAUCUCAAUACAGCUCACGCUUUCCUUCUUUACUGAUGACCUUAGUAAUCCAUAAGACCAUGUUUGGUUUUUUUUUUUUUAUGCAGUUCAGCCUUAGCUUAGUAAGGUUAUUACUAUUUAGUUACUCAUAAAGUACCAGUGCACAUAUUCUAUAGUAUUGCUACCGAAAU